Long non-coding RNA from Felis catus (domestic cat), 908 nucleotides. RefSeq lists it as uncharacterized. The transcript is spliced from 3 exons. The record is from RefSeq and is a predicted model, not a curated record. NCBI's taxonomy places the organism in Eukaryota, Metazoa, Chordata, Mammalia, Carnivora, Felidae.
UGAGAUUCCAGGGUUGCCUAGCACCUUUAGGAAGAACUCAAGAACUGGCCUUUCUUUUGAAGGGUCCUUAGAAUCUAGGGGGCUGGCUUAGAUCUGGGGAGAGGCUACAUUUUGGCUUGGGUGGGAAUGGGGUUCUCAGGAAGUAGAGUUUGUAGUUUGAAUGGGAAGGGUGAAGUGGUGAUUUGGGGUCCUUGCCCUAGUCCAAGCUGCUGUCAACUCAUUAUAAGAUCUCCAGCCUUUACCCUUUGAGCCUAGUUUGUUUCUCUGUAAGAACAGGCUGGACUAACCUCUGAAGAAAGCAAUGCCAGCCGGUGAGAAACAUCUGGAAUCACAGGGCAGUGAGGCCUCGGUAGGGGGCUGCCUUCCUCAGCUUAGCAGUGACUGUCAGAAGGCAGAGAUUAACUAACCAUUUGUCCUUGAAACCUCAAAAAGGGUGAACUACUCAUGCUUCAAGACUCAUGUGCCAUCUUCUCCGAGGGACAGGAUCUCUGGCCCAUGCUCCCGGCAGUGAGCUGGCCAUGUGUGCCCAUAUCUACCUUGGACUUACUCUAUAAUAGAAUUUAUGAAAUUGAACGGAUUUGCUUAUAUAUCUGGCUCCCUCCUUUUGACUGCACACUCCCUUAGAUUUUUUUUUUUUCUCAAGUGUCGCCCUCAUUGGCAAGCCUUUUGGGAUCCCCUCCCCAGAGCUAGAUAGCUCCCCUGUGCUCCCGCGUAUCCAGAGCUCACGGAUAUGACGGCGCUUACCACACUGUACUUCACGGCACUCGUCUACCACCCAGACAGGGCCCUCCCUGGACGGCAGGGCCUGAGUCUCAUUUAUCUCUGCAUGUCCAGAACUGGCAACGUAACUGGCAGAGAUUAGUCAACAAAUGUCUGUUGAAUGAUGAGAAAAUCAACUUCCCACACUU